CAAGCGGCAGGCCCUUGUUGAGCAAGUGCGAGCUGCCCAUCGAGAGGCGCGAGCGGCCGCGGGCCCCGACCACUCCGGCGCGCUGCGCCGCCGCGAGCCCGGCGCGUGGGGCGGCCUCGGCGCCGUCCGCUGCUCCGCCCGCCCGCCUGCGCCUGGCCGCCGCCGUGCCGAGUCUCCGCCGCGCCGCUGAGCCGCGCUCCGACGACCGCGCGGGCGGGGACACGGCGGCGCGCGCGGGCGGGGCCUCGCGGUUGGUCUCCUGGUUCCCAGCGCGGGCGGCGCACGGACUCACGCGGGCGGCUCAGGGCCCGCCCGGCCGGGACGCGGCUGCGGGGCGGGGCGGGGCGGGAGCCUGGCGGGAAGCUCGCGGGGCUGCAGCCCGGCGGAGGCCCCGGGCCUGGUGUUCCGCACGUUCUAAACCGCCUGUCCCCGAGGAAGUCGGGCAGGGUCGGGCCGGACUCAGCGCCGCUGGCGGGAGCGCCGUCCGCCCCGAGGACCCUGCGGGCCCGGAAGCCGAGACAGGGCCGCCCACGUCAGCGCCUGGCGCGGGCCCGAACGUAAAUGGCGCUCCUCCGCGCCGCAGCCGCAGCCGCCCCGCUCCCUUCCCGCUCCGCCAGCUGCCGCCCUCCCGCGCUCGCUUCUCGCCCCGCGGCCUGGCCCGUGCGCCUCCGAGGCUGGCCAGGGGCACCGAGGCCGCGGGCCCCCCAUCGCCCCCACCCGAGCCCUGAUUUACCGUCCGAGAGCCGGCGGCACAUGGGACCCCGAGAGGAGAAGCGCGCCUGCCCCAGUGCGUCCCCAGGCGGGGGAGCCCCGACUCCUGGAGGGACCGCGUCCUGCCCGGCCCGGGAAGUUCAGGGCUGGAGAACCCCUUCCCCGACCCCAUUUCUCUUUUAACAAGAGUAGGGUUUGUAGCUAACCAACGUCCUGACAGCUCAGCUCUGCUUUCCCUUUAAGCAUUAAUAUCAAAGCCCUGCCUGCUACCGGUGAAGCCCCGACCCGGGAGGGCCCGAAAGUCCCUUCAGGGAGAGGCCGCACUGGGCCUGCUCACCCAGGGGCUGCCCCUGCAGACUCUCCCGAGGGGCCCAGGGAUAUUCCUCGCGCCGCGAGUGGACGCUUCCAUCCACCCCAUGGGGAGGGCCUCUGCGCGUGGCUACUCUGAGCCCUCUGGAAUGCCGAGAUAGUUGCAUAAUUUCAGAAACCACGGCAUGGAGACGGAAUGAUGCAGACUCCUAUCCGCGAGAUACCUGCUGUAAUUUCGCUGUGGUUCGUGAGGACGCGUCCUGGGCUGCCCUGAGAAGCCUACGUCUCCCCUUCGAGGCCCGGGAAGACCUCCAACCCCGCUGACAAUGCUGGGCCCUCAGCCAGACCUGCCCUGCGUGCCACGUUCUGUUCUAAGAUCGGGCUGCCGAGCUGUGGCCUGGAGGAAACCUGGCAGGUGUCACCAGAGCUUUGGGGAGGGUGAGGCCCUGUCGGGGAAGCCCAGUGGGAGUCAUGAAGGAGGGAACACGUGUGGAGCCCUUGUAGGGGGAGGGGCAGCCCUGCAGAGAUCUAAGAAAAAAUUCCAGAAAAAUGAGCAGCAACCUCCAAGGCCAGGCAUCGGUGCAGGGGACAAGGGGUCGUAGCUGGAGGGGCCUAGGUGAGGCUGCCGGGAAGGGACGAUGUGGUUGGUGGAGUGCACAGGCAGGGACCUCACUGGACUUUCCUGUCUGCUCAGCAUGGACAGGCAGCCCAGGAGAAGGCAGCACGUGGCCGGGUGCAGGGACGUACCACCCCCACUUCCCCAGGGGAGCUGGGGUCAGACGAGUCCCAGGCACUCCAUCCUCUGCAGCAAGUCAGGUUGUGAUUUACUAGGGGGUGGUGAAUAUAAUGGAGAGACUUCUGGGGAGGAAUUCCUGGCUCCCGCGUGGACUUGCAGAGCUCAACAGGCAGCCACGUGGCUGAGUGUCCAGCAAACAUCACAUAAGGCUUUGGGUCCUGCAGGUGGGGCUGCCAUGAGCAGCAAGCUCAGUCCAGAAGAACAGUUCCUCUCCAGGAUCCACUUCCUGCGCACUUUUAUGUGCAGUGUAGCUGGAGCAGAGCUCCCCGGAAUUCCACAGGCAACUGAGAACGGAGAGGGAUGCAGGCCAGCCAGGGAUCCAGCGUCUUCCCCAUCGUCACUCUCCAUGGCCUCCGUCUACACACAGUGUUCGUCUGCACAGCUUGUCAGCGCGUUAUCAUGACUUCUAUUUGGCACCGGCCCGUCUGUCCACUGUCCUGGCUUGUUCCAAGCGCUGCCUUCUCCAACUGGGGUCCUGGCUGCAGAGCUGUCUGCUCCCCACGUUGGGCAACUCCAGCCAAGAUUCCUACACCCAAAUGUGACCGUGUUGCUCACGAAGAAGGCUCAGCUUUGCGUGUGCCCAGCCGUGUGCACAGCUCGUCCCAACUCCUGCGGGUGGCACCUGCCUCUCCCACCUCCAGUCUUUCCCCUGUGAUGAGCAGAUGACCACCGCCCUCCAGGGUCAGCGUUUGGCUGUUUGUGUGCCUGCCCACCCGCCUCCCUGUGCCUGGGCCUGCCCUGUGCCUGCACACAGGAGUGGCUCAUGGCGUUUGCCCUACACGGAUGGGCUGUCCUGGGAGCUACUGGACAGUCACCUUGGUGGGAAUGCCAGAGGCAUGGGCAUUAGGUCCCCCCGGCCAGCCUCCGUUGCCACAUGGGCUAUUUUUGUCCAUCGCGUGGGACAACCUAGUAUUGGGGGAAAACUCAGUCCACUCUAAAGAAGCAUCGGCGUUUUGGAUGGACGAAUGCUGCUUCAUGCGACUCCAUGUCAAUGGACUAUUUUAUUCAACUCGGGUAUUUAUGAGUGUCUCCUCUGUGCCAGCCACGUGUGAAAGAAGAACUCCAAGUUACUGGACACCAGGACAAACCAGGUAGAUCACUGCAUCCGGUUCCUCCUCUUUCUGCCGACUCUCCCGGGCAACCGUUCUGAUUCCUGGCAUGGAGUUGGGGGCGAGCUCAUCAGUACCCAGAGCGCCUGGUGUGCAGCCAAAGGCCCCCAUUUUAUUAGUCGGUGUGUUCAGUAUCACGCUCAAGACAAGGGCCAACCUAUUACUUCACACACCUCAAAUACAAAAAGUGCCUGGGAACGUCGAUGAGGUAUUAAAGGAAACCACUGGUCUUGUCAGUCAUGUACACACAGAAAAAAAAACCAGUCAUUUUUAUUUUUAUUUUUUGAGACAGAGUUUCGCUCUUGUUGCCCAGGCUGGAGUGCAAUGGUGCAAUUUCAGCUCACUGCAAUCUCUGCCACCCGGAUUCAAGCAAUUCUCCUGUCUCAGCCUCCCGAGUAGCUGGAAUUGCAGACACCCAUCACCACGCCCAGCUAAUUUUAUGUAUUUUUAGUAGAGAUGGGGUUUCACCAUGUUGGUCAGGCUGGUCUUGAACUCCUGACCUCAGGUGAUCCACCCACGUCAGGCUCCCAAAGUGCUGAGAUUACAGGCAUGAACCACUGUGCCCAGCCGAAAACAACCAAGAAUUUUUUAACAAUAAAAUGACCAGCAAGUAAACUUGAAACAAAAAUGGACAAAUAUCUAAAAUAUUUUUAAAUGUAUGUAUUUUAAUUGGCAAAUAAUACUUGUAUAUAUUGUUUACAACUUGUUUUAAAGUAUGAAUACAUUGUGGAAUGGCUAAAUCAAGUUAAUUAACAUGCAUUAACUCACAUACUUUUUGUUUUUUGGUGUGGUGAGGACACUUAACAUCUACUCUCUUAGCAAUUUUCCAGUCACCAUGUCCUACUAUAGAUCCCUAGAACAUAUUCCUCCAAUGUAACUGAAAUGUAUCCCUUGACCAACAUCACUGCCCGGCCCCAGCCCCAGGUAAACACCAUUCUACCCUCUGCUUCUGUGAGUUCAGCUUUUCUAGAUUUCACCUGUGAGUGAGAUUGUGCAGCAUUUGUCUUUCUGUGCCUGGGUUUUUUCACAUAAUGCCCUUCUGGUUCAUCUAUAUUGUCAUAUAUGGUAGCAUUGUCUUCCUUUGUAAGGCUGACUGGUAUACCAUUGCGUAUAUACACCACAUUGUUUACCUAAAAUAUUUUUUAAUACAAUCGCUGAAAACUGCCACAUAACUUGUAUAACUGCUGUAAGGCUUGGUUUUCAGCCAUAAGAUGGGAAGAGAAGUAACAUCUACCUUGCAGGAUGACUGCAAGCUGUAAAAUGCCACAAAGCGCAGGGGAGCCCAGAACCGCCGCAGCAGGACAGGUCCUCUGGAAGCAGACAGACCUGCCUUGUUACUUUAGCCAUCCAGAGUCCAGUUUAGCCAGUGAUGAAAUGAGUACAAAAGAACACCUUUCUUGUAGGAUUGCAAAAUGAUGUCUUCAUCCAUUCUGUGCUGCUAUAGCAGACUCCUGCACACUGGGUAACUGACAGCUUACAGAAGCUUGUUGGCUUAUGGUUCUGGAGGCUGGGAAGUCCAACCUCAAGGGGCUGCAUCUGGUGAGGGCUUUCUUGUUGCAUCAUCACAUCGCAGAAUAGCAGAAGGGCAAGGAGAGAGAGAGAAAAGAGUGCUGAACCCACCCUUUGAUAAGAAGCCCACUCCCAUGAUAAUAGCACCAGCCCAUUCAGGAGGGCAAAGCCCUCGUGGCUGCAUCGCCUCUCAAAGGUUCCACCUCUCAAGAUCAUCACAAUGACAAUCAAACUUCAUGAAUUUUGGAGGGGACAAUUAUUCAAACCAGAACAGAGGGGGAUGGCAAAUGUUCUGAAAACAAGCCUAGAAAUUGAUCUUAGAAAUGGUGCAAAAGUAGAUUUCCCCUUCUGUCUUUACCUGUGAUGGUCUAACCCCAAAAGCCUCCCAGAACAGAACUUGUGAGCACAAGAUAGAAACAACAAACUUGAUGCAGAGCUGAGCUCACAAGGAGGUCAGGGAUGUGACAGGAACCAGAGACAAACAGAAGGCUGAAAACCAGGUCUUAAAGUGUGAGAGCCAAAGGGCAGCAGCCCAGGAGAGUGUUCGUCUGGAGCCCCGGGGUUUAAGUCUCCACACUCACAUGGGAAAGGAGACGAGGCCUCCCUGGAUCCACGUGAAUCAGGAACUGGAACAAGGGCACUCAAAGGGCUACGCCAUCAGGAGAGAUGUGAAUGAGUGUGCCCACAGGAACAGGAAGACAACAGGAUGGUUCUGUGUUUGCCUGCCUGUUGUGGUUCUGUGAGACAGAAACAGUUUUGAUGACAAUUGAUAAUCAGGACUCAGAGCCUUGUUAGACUUCAGGUAUUGAAUUUUUUUUUGAGACAGGGUCUAGCUGUGUUGCCCAGGCUGGUCUUGAACUCCUGGGCCCAAGUGAUCCUCCUACCUUGGCCUCCCAAAGUGCUGGGAUUACAGGCAUGAGCUACCGUGCCCAGCCUAGGUAUCGAAUUUUCACAGGUUUCACAGUCCAGGCCCUACCACCCCUGCAGCAAAUAACUUGAUAUAAAACCUGGGCCCAGGCUAGUAAUACCCUUGAAGCCCAUGACAGAAGCAGGCACAGUGAUAGAAGCAAAAUCACGUAGACAUUAUCAAUCUAGCCCCCUCCAAUUCCUACCCAUAAAGCCCACUGAAGAUGAAUUUACAAUCAUAAAGUACAAAACAUGCCAAGAAAGAACCACAUGAGGGAAGUCAGCAGAUGUGUGAACAGCAGGAACGGACUCCGCCACCAAAGGCCUUCAAAAGGUGAAUCAAGCAAAAAAGAGAACAUUAAUUAAACAUGUUUAACAUGGGUAAGAAUUACAGGAAUAAAAGAAGUAAAUGAACAAGAAUACGAUUGCAAGGGAGUGGUAGAAGAAUAGGCAGUUUUGAAGAACUAAAUGGAAUAUCUAGAAUGAAAAACCAUGCUUGCUAAAAUUAACUCAAUGAGUGAGUUUAAAAAGCAAUUUAGACCCAGCUGAGAGCUGAAUUUGUGGUAUAUGCAGAAAUUACUUCUGAUGCGAGGCAGAGCAUGAUGACAGAAUGAGGAGAUCCCAAACAUCUAUGAGAGUUCCAUUCUGAAUGAUUAGAAGAAUGAGGAAGCAACAGUAUUUAAAAAGAUAAUCACUAAGAAAGUUCUAUACUUGAUGAAAAAUGUGAAUCCUAAGAUUCAGGAACAGUGUGAGACUUCAGCUGGGGAAAAAAGAUGAAACUACACUUCUACAUUUAGGAGUAAAACUACAGAAUACAAAAGACAAAAAAAUUUUAAAGUGAAAAAUAAAACCACUCAGAUUACAUCAAAAGCAGUUAUCAUGAAAGCAGCCUAUCAAUUACAAUGAUAAAAGCCAAGCAAUAGUCAAAUAUCGAUUUUUUUCAAAGUCACAAGAUAAAAUAAGUAGUAACAUAGGAUUCUGUACAUAGCAUUAUUUGUUACCUAUUGGGGCAUAACAAAAUUCCCCAAAACUUUGCAGCUUAAAAAACAUUCAGUAUUUCACCAUUGCCAUGAGUCAGGAAUCCAGGCGUGGCUUGAGUCCUCUGCAUAUUGGCUUCUCACCAGACUGCAAUCAGGACAAUAGCACAGUAUCUGUGGUCUCAUCUGAAGGCUUGCCUGAGGAAGUCUGCAUCCAAGCUUACUCUUCGUUGGCUGUUGGGCAGAGGCACCCUCAGCUCCCAGCCAUGUAGGCUUUCCCAUGGUGCAGCUUCUAUCAACAAAGCACGCCAGACAAGAGGACAACACACAGUCUUCUAGGAAGAAGAAAGCCACAAUCUUUUUUUAAAAAGCAAAGCAAUAUUUAUGUAAUUGCCACUUGGUUUGAGAAGUAGAACACUGUGUCAAAAACCCCUCCAAAGCCCCCGCCAGUAACUGCCCUCCUCCUUCUCCCCAGUGCAACCACUGCCCUCACUUCUGUCUUUUUUUCAACUUUUAAAAAUUGUGGUAAAAUGCAUAUAACUUAAAAUUACAACCUUAAUCAUUUUAAGUGUACAGUUUGGUGGUGGUAAAUACACUCGUGAUGUGCAACCAUCACCACCAUGCAUCUGUAUAGAACUCUUUCCAUCUUGUAAAACUGAAACUCUGUCUCCAUUAAACAAUAAUUCAUCAUUUCCCUUCCCCUGGCCCUAGUACCCACCAUUCCACUUUCUGUUUCUAUAAUUUUGACUACUCUAACUACCUCAUAUAAGUGGAAUUCUGUGGUAGUUGUAUUUUUAGCAACUGGCUUAUUUCGCUUGGUGCAGUGUCCUCAAGAUUCAUCCAUGUUGCAGCCUGUGUCAGAAUCUCAUCCCUUUUUAAGGCUAAAUAGUAUCCCAUUGUUCAUACCACGUUCUGCUUAUUCAUUUAUCCAUCAGUGGGCACUUGGGUUGUGAUAUGGUUUGGCUGUGUCCCCACCCAAAUCUCAUCUUGAAUUGUGGCUCCCACAAUUCCCACAUGUUGUGGGAGGGACCCAGUGGGAAGUAAUUGAAUCAUGGGGGCAGGUCUUUCCCAUGCUGUUCUCGUGGUGGUGGAUAAGUCUCACGAGAUCUGAUGGUUUUAUAAAGGGGAGUUUUCCUGCACAAGUUCUCUUCUCUUGUCUGCCGCCAUGUGAUAUGUGCACUUCACCUUCUGCCAUGAUUGUGAGGUCUCCCCAGCCACGUGAAACUGUGAGUCCAUUAAACCUCUUUUUCCUUAUAAA
Molecule: long non-coding RNA, 7575 nt
Organism: Homo sapiens (human)
Lineage: Eukaryota; Metazoa; Chordata; Mammalia; Primates; Hominidae
Gene: CTBP1-DT
Product: CTBP1 divergent transcript
Source: Ensembl